AUGAAGGUGAGGUCAAAGAUCAUGGACAAGAUAAACAAUGGUAGUAGCCGCUGUAGAAGCCAUUAUAAACAUUCUGACUGGUUGUGGACGUUCGGUGGAGGAACCAGACUGGAAGUUAACUGUAAAGUCCCCCCCUCCCUGACGCUGCUGCCUCCCUCCGUGGAGGAGCUGCAGCAGGGGAAGGCCACGCUCAUGUGCCUGGCCAACAAGGGCUUCCCCUCAGACUGGAGUCUGUCCUGGAAGGUGGACGGCAGCAGCAGCAUCAGCAACGGGGAGCAGAGCAGGAGCCCCGGGGUGCUGCAGAAGGACGGCCACUACAGCUGGAGCAGCACCCUGAGGCUCCCUGCAGACCAGUGGAGGAAGGUGGUCUCUGUGACCUGUGAGGCCAGCCAGGGCUCCCAGACUCCGCUCUCAGAGACACUGAGGAGAGACCAGUGUUCCCAGUCCUGACCUGACUCACUGGGACUCUCACACUGCUUUCACUCUCUCUCUGCUCUCUGGCUUUUCUUUCACAUCUUCCAAUAACAGGAUUUACUGGCUUCUUGCUGUGUUUCAAUGUUGUUUCACUGCUUCUAAAUAAUAAAGAUCUGCUCAUCAACUCA
Molecule: non-coding RNA, 602 nt
Organism: Mugil cephalus (flathead mullet)
Lineage: Eukaryota; Metazoa; Chordata; Actinopteri; Mugiliformes; Mugilidae
Source: the annotation of a RefSeq genome assembly